GUCCACGCCGUAAACGUUGGGCGCUAGGUAUGGGGCUCUUUCCACGAGUUCCGUGCCGCAGCUAACGCAUUAAGCGCCCCGCCUGGGGAGUACGGCCGCAAGGCUAAAACUCAAAGGAAUUGACGGGGGCCCGCACAAGCGGCGGAGCAUGCGGAUUAAUUCGAUGCAACGCGAAGAACCUUACCAAGGCUUGACAUGGGCAGAAAUCCGGCAGAGAUGUCGGGUCCGUAAGGGCUGCUCACAGGUGGUGCAUGGUUGUCGU
RNAcentral lists this ribosomal RNA (262 nucleotides) under uncultured bacterium. RNAcentral's name for it is "partial 16S ribosomal RNA". It matches the Rfam family "Bacterial small subunit ribosomal RNA", at positions 793 to 1055 of the family's 1533-position model. The record is from RNAcentral.